Molecule: unclassified non-coding RNA, 26 nt
Filed under: Mus musculus (house mouse)
Lineage: Eukaryota; Metazoa; Chordata; Mammalia; Rodentia; Muridae
Description: oocyte_clustered_small_RNA12024
Source: RNAcentral
UGACCAGUUCGGACGUUUUUUUUCUU